This 479-nucleotide ribosomal RNA is filed under the name uncultured bacterium. Its description in RNAcentral is "partial 16S ribosomal RNA". It matches the Rfam family "Bacterial small subunit ribosomal RNA", at positions 28 to 507 of the family's 1533-position model. The record is from RNAcentral.
GAUGAACGCUGGCGGCGUGCUUAACACAUGCAAGUCGAACGAAGCACCUUGAUUCGAUUCUUCGGAUGAAGAUCUUGGUGACUGAGUGGCGGACGGGUGAGUAACGCGUGGGUAACCUGCCUCAUACAGGGGGAUAACAGUUAGAAAUGACUGCUAAUACCUCAUAAGACCACAGCACCGCAUGGUGCAGGGGUAAAAACUCCGGUGGUAUGAGAUGGACCCGCGUCUGAUUAGGUAGUUGGUGGGGUAACGGCCUACCAAGCCGACGAUCAGUAGCCGACCUGAGAGGGUGACCGGCCACAUUGGGACUGAGACACGGCCCAAACUCCUACGGGAGGCAGCAGUGGGGAAUAUUGCACAAUGGGGGAAACCCUGAUGCAGCGACGCCGCGUGAGCGAUGAAGUAUUUCGGUAUGUAAAGCUCUAUCAGCAGGGAAGAAAAUGACGGUACCUGACUAAGAAGCACCGGCUAAAUACGUG